UACGUAGGAGGCAAGCGUUAUCCGGAAUGACUGGGCGUAAAGGGUGCGUAGGUGGUUCAGCAAGUUAGUAGCGUAACUCCGGAGCUCAACUUCGGCACUACUACUAAAACUGUUGGACUUGAGUGCAGGAGGGGCAACUGGAAUUCCUAGUGUAGCGGUGGAAUGCGUAGAUAUUAGGAAGAACACCGGUGGCGAAGGCGAGUUGCUGGACUGUAACUGACACUGAGGCACGAAAGCGUGGGGAGCAAACAGG
RNAcentral lists this ribosomal RNA (253 nucleotides) under uncultured bacterium. RNAcentral describes it as "partial 16S ribosomal RNA". It matches the Rfam family "Bacterial small subunit ribosomal RNA", at positions 524 to 776 of the family's 1533-position model. The record is from RNAcentral.